AAUGGAUUCUCCCUCAGAGCCUCCUCAGGGAACCAACCCUGCCAACACUUUCAUUUCGGACUUCUGGCUUCCAGAACUGAGAUGACUCAUCCCUUUGAUCCCCAACCAUCGACACUGUCUGCUCCUGACAUCCAACCAUUGACAUCGUCAUGGCCUGAUGAUCCUCCCUCUAAUGUAUCAUCAGAAGGUUAAUAGUAGCCUAAUGCUUAUAUCAUUCACCUCACUCCAUCUCAUCAAGUAGGCAUUUUAUCAUCUCACAUCAUCACAAGAAGAAGGAGGUCAUGCACAGGGGAGACUAGGAGCAAGUACUAGAAGGACCCAGUGGGGAUGCUCUUACUGCUGUCUUGGCAGUACUUGUGCUGCAAAUAAACAAACUUCAGUCCUGAAGACUCUCCAGUGUGUAACUUUGAAGGCAUGAAAUUCACACACACAGAAUGUUAUUUUCCAGAAGUGCAGUUUUGAUAUGUGGUCACUCCAUUUUGUACAACGCUUCAAUGUCUCUUGCUGGCUACUCAGAAUCCUGGUGCUUUGCUAGCAAGCUGACCUUGGCACUGGAUCUCCUAUCCAAGAACUUGCAUCUACAGAUGGACUUGGUACCCAGCUUUGUGAUAGAAGCCAUGGAGAUAAAUCUAAUUACCUGGAGCUCAAAGGGACUUUGGAAAGGCCUAAAAUCUUCAUUUGUCUUUGAGGUCAUCGUUUGCUAAACUUCAUGGAUGUUAAUUAUUUUUUGGCAGGCAAGAAAUACCAAAGAAUUUGGGAUCCUCUUAAGAAGACAUUGCUUUAUAUUUCAUAAUAUCCCUUAAGUGACUUGUGCAUGACAGGUGCUCAGUAAAUUCUUUCCAAUAGAUUGAAAUAAAUUCUGAACAGUUUGAGUUUGAUAUUUAUAUUUGGCUUAUCAAAUCAUCAUCCCAGAGGCAAAAAUAACUAGAAGGGGGAUGAUCUGAAGUAAAGCUGGACCAAAUUAAUAUUAAAUUAAAUUAAAUUAAAAUGUUGGGAGGUUGACCAUUAUAGAAAAUCCUUUGUAAGUCUAUACUAGUAUCUCAAUAAAUAUUCUAUGGACUAAAAUGUUGAGCUUGUUACAAGAGAAUGAAUGAUACAAACAUUUUUUCAUGUGAAAACAUUCUGCCUAUGGCACCUGGAAGAAUUUAG
Molecule: long non-coding RNA, 1149 nt
Filed under: Equus caballus (horse)
Lineage: Eukaryota; Metazoa; Chordata; Mammalia; Perissodactyla; Equidae
Description: lncRNA (ENSECAG00000037357.3)
Source: RNAcentral